RNAcentral lists this ribosomal RNA (253 nucleotides) under uncultured bacterium. RNAcentral's name for it is "partial 16S ribosomal RNA". It matches the Rfam family "Bacterial small subunit ribosomal RNA", at positions 524 to 776 of the family's 1533-position model. The record is from RNAcentral.
AACGUAGGAGGCGAGCGUUAUCCGGAAUCACUGGGCGUAAAGGGCGUUUAGGUGGAAGGCCAAGUCCGACGUGAAAGCCCUGGGCUCAACCCCGGGAGGCCGUCGGAGACUGGUGUUCUAGAGGGCCGAAGAGGGGCGUGGAAUUCCCGGUGUAGUGGUGAAAUGCGUAGAGAUCGGGAGGAACACCCGUGGCGCAGGCGGCGCCCUGGUCGGUCACUGACACUGAAGCGCGAAAGCGUGGGGAGCGAACGGG